This 406-nucleotide ribosomal RNA is filed under the name uncultured bacterium. RNAcentral describes it as "partial 16S ribosomal RNA". It matches the Rfam family "Bacterial small subunit ribosomal RNA", at positions 28 to 526 of the family's 1533-position model. The record is from RNAcentral.
GACGAACGCUGGCGGCAGGCCUAACACAUGCAAGUCGAGCGAGCGGCGGACGGGUGAGUAAUGUCUGGGAAACUGCCUGAUGGAGGGGGAUAACUACUGGAAACGGUAGCUAAUACCGCAUACCAUCAGAUGUGCCCAGAUGGGAUUAGCUAGUAGGUGGGGUAAAGGCUCACCAAGGCGACGAUCGGUAGCUGGUCUGAGAGGACGACCAGCCACACUGGGACGGAGACACGGCCCAGACUCCUACGGGAGGCAGCAGUGGGGAAUUUUGGACAAUGGGGGCAACCCUGAUCCAGCCAUGCCGCGUGCAGGAUGAAGGUCUUCGGAUUGUAAACUGCUUUUGUCAGGGAAGCGGUACCUGAAGAAUAAGCACCGGCUAACUACGUGCCAGCAGCCGCGGUAAUUC